RNA transcript from Phalaenopsis equestris, 2233 nucleotides. RefSeq lists it as uncharacterized. The transcript has 3 exons. The record is from RefSeq and is a predicted model, not a curated record. NCBI's taxonomy places the organism in Eukaryota, Viridiplantae, Streptophyta, Magnoliopsida, Asparagales, Orchidaceae.
UUCUCCCCUCUUGUUCAACUUCAUAAAAUCUUUCUUUUGAUGGAUGAAAGCACAAUAAGAUUGGCUGCACGUCGUUCCCGUUUAAGUUCACGAAAACCCUUCCCACCCACACGAAACCCUCACGAUCUCGCAGAUCCCCCUUCCGCCGGCGCUUUCGCGCUUCCCUCCUCUUCCGGGACACGAUUUCGCCUAAAGUCGUCCUCUCACAGAUCGCUGUCAUCACAACCCAAAGAGGUACAAAAUGGCAUAUGAAUGUGCUAUUUCAAUUCUACCAGUUAAUUGACACUGGAUAGUUGUUGAUGAUUAAGUACAGAUGGGUCCGCCAAAUGCUUCUGGACCUAAUAUAGCUGUUGAUGAUUAAGUUCAGAUGGGUCCGCCAAAUGCUUCUGGACCUAACGGUAGACCAAGAAAAAGAAGAUUGCAAAGUUUCUUAGAAGGUGGCAAUAAUAAGAGCAAGAAAGUUUAGAGGAGCAGCCAUGUGAUCAAUGGGGCCAACACAGAAGCACCUGCAAGAAUCCACACAUUUUCAUGUAAUCACGCCAAACGCUGACUACACGUCCGGUUCAUCUCAACUAACCAAUGCUUCGUGAAGUUGCAGACCCAAUUUGCCAAUUAGAAAGGUGCGGGUGGUGGAGAAAUUCAGUGCCCGUUUGGGGCAACUUAUAGGGUGCGGCAGCGUUGUGAAAACGCCGCCUUCUCGUUUGAAUAUCGCGAUCGAUGUAAAUUUUUGGUGUCACGGCGUUUUAUUAUCGCGAUUUCCUUCAUCCCUACGCAAGUCGGACUCCCCCCGCAUCCCGCGUAUGAAUUUUGUGAUUAGGGAAGAAUUUCUGUGGUGCCCCCUUCUCGCUCGCCCUCGCCCUUGGAGAAUCGCAGAUCUCCUCUGCUCCUUCGCCUCGCCUCGUACGCUCUCGCCCUUGGAGAAUCACGGUUCUCCUCUGCUCCUUCGCCACGCCUCGCAGAUCUCCCUCGGCUCGCCCUUUCCACGAAAAUCGAUCUCCUCUGCUCACCCUUUGCAAGAGACGUCGCCUAGGAAAAUCGCACCUAUUCUAUUUCUCGCCUCGCAGAUCUCCCUCGGCUCGCCGAUCCUCCUCUGCUCUUUGCUUAGACUGAGAUCGGCGCAAGGAUGGAUCCGCAGCAUGAACGUUGUAAAAGAAUGACAUGGGCUGCAGCUAUUGCAAUAUUGUUGUUGGAGUAUUACCGAUCCAACAGUGUUCGUAUACCCCGUAUAACGUCCAAUUUUAUUGGGGAUAAAUGAGUAGGUGAAAUGCUUUCUGGACAUCUUAUAAUGUUCAACAACAUAUUUCGAAUGAGUGUACUUAUUUUUGUGGAUUCCUGAAUGAGUUAUCUCUGAAUCACGGCCUCUAAGUUUCCUCACCCGCCUUUAGGUAUGAUUUGAUCUGUAAACGUACUAGUUAUAUGCAUUAUUUGUCAUUAAUAAUGUAUUCCAUAACAGAGCAAUAGUAUAUGGUCGAUGUUGGAUAUCCUAUGCAGAGGGGCUACCUGAAGUCAUAUCCAGACACUAGAUACCAUAUUCUUGAUUUUGAGCAAGCAAGUGACACCAUCCUUGACAGAAAAGAAAUGUUUAACAAAUGUCACUCCUCUUUUCGCGGGGUAAUUUAAAGAACGUUUAGGGUUUGGAAGAAGAAAUGAGUCAUCUUACGUGAUAUGUCGUCGUAUCUAUUUCAAAAGUAGGUGCAUAUUGUGGUAACAACAAUGACACUUCAUAACUUCAUCUGAAGACAUCAUUCACGUUCAGAUACGAACUUUAGUAUGGCUGGUAACGAUGAACCGAAUGUCUUUGAAGAACCAUCAGCAUUUGUGGUUCGGCCUUCAGUCUAUGAGGAUGAGAUUGACUCUAACGAAUUUGGGGUUCAUGACACUGAGAGUGUGGCUGAGAUGACUGCUUUGAAGGAGUCAAUCGUAGAUGAUAUGGCAGCUGAUCCAUCAAGUCUUCUUUACUUUCGUCUGCACAUCUUUUUGUUUUUUUUAGGAUCUGACCUUUUUUUUUUGUUUCUUCUGAUACUCACGAGAGUGUGAGCACUGUAUGUUUUCUUUUGAACUGAUCUGGGAUGCUUUAUGGGUUCUGUAUUAUAUACUUCUGUUCUCGUUUUAGUUAUGUUGCAAACAGCUUAACCAAACAGGGGCAGAACGAUCAUUUAUCCUACAACAGCUCCCAGUAAGCUAUUUUGAAUAAGCUGCCUCAAACAUCAAACCAGCUUAUUCUGAUAAUCUG